CCUACGGGGGGCUGCAGUGGGGAAUAUUGGACAAUGGGCGAAAGCCUGAUCCAGCCAUGCCGCGUGUGUGAAGAAGGCCUUCGGGUUGUAAAGCACUUUCAGUGGGGAAGAAAGCCUUGGGGCUAAUACCCUCGAGGAAGGACAUCACCCACAGAAGAAGCACCGGCUAACUCCGUGCCAGCAGCCGCGGUAAUACGGAGGGUGCGAGCGUUAAUCGGAAUUACUGGGCGUAAAGCGCGCGUAGGCGGUCUGAUAAGCCGGUUGUGAAAGCCCCGGGCUCAACCUGGGAACGGCAUCCGGAACUGUUAGGCUAGAGUGCAGGAGAGGAAGGUAGAAUUCCCGGUGUAGCGGUGAAAUGCGUAGAGAUCGGGAGGAAUACCAGUGGCGAAGGCGGCCUUCUGGACUGACACUGACGCUGAGGUGCGAAAGCGUGGGUAGCAAACAGGAUUAGAUACCCUUGUAGUC
RNAcentral lists this ribosomal RNA (465 nucleotides) under Vreelandella stevensii. RNAcentral's name for it is "partial 16S ribosomal RNA". It matches the Rfam family "Bacterial small subunit ribosomal RNA", at positions 338 to 795 of the family's 1533-position model. The record is from RNAcentral. Lineage: Bacteria; Pseudomonadati; Pseudomonadota; Gammaproteobacteria; Oceanospirillales; Halomonadaceae.